UACGGAGGGGGCUAGCGUUGUUCGGAAUUACUGGGCGUAAAGCGCACGUAGGCGGCUUUGUAAGUUAGAGGUGAAAGCCCAGGGUUUAACCCUGGAAUUGCCUUUAAGACUGCAUCGCUAGAAUCGUGGAGAGGUGAGUGGAAUUCCGAGUGUAGAGGUGAAAUUCGUAGAUAUCGGAAGGAACGCCGGUGGCGAAAGCGCUCGACUGGACCUCUUCUGACGCUGAGGCGCGAAAGCCAGGGGAGCAAACGGG
This 253-nucleotide ribosomal RNA is filed under the name uncultured bacterium. Its description in RNAcentral is "partial 16S ribosomal RNA". It matches the Rfam family "Bacterial small subunit ribosomal RNA", at positions 524 to 776 of the family's 1533-position model. The record is from RNAcentral.